GCCGGGAUGGCGAAAUUGGUAGACGCACUAGGUUUAGGACCUAGCGGAGCAAUCUGUGGAGGUUCGAGUCCUCUUCCCGGCACCA
This 85-nucleotide transfer RNA is filed under the name Candidatus Saccharibacteria bacterium CG10_big_fil_rev_8_21_14_0_10_47_8. Its description in RNAcentral is "tRNA-Leu". It matches the Rfam family "tRNA". From Rfam's summary of the family: Transfer RNA (tRNA) molecules are approximately 80 nucleotides in length. Their secondary structure includes four short double-helical elements and three loops (D, anti-codon, and T loops). Lineage: Bacteria; Candidatus Saccharimonadota. The record is from RNAcentral. RNAcentral also lists the same sequence under 1 other name.